CCCUGGUUUCCUGAAAGAACUUUUUUUUUCACCUUUUAUAAGAUAUCAAAAUGGUCUUAUAAGAAAGUGCAUGAGCCCAGCUUGCCAAAUUACUAUAUCAAAUAAUAAUAAUGAACCUUUUUAUGGUCACCCACAGUGAGCUACCUGUGCUGAAGAACAGCUGCAUAAAUGUAUUCGCUACCUGAUGGGCUCGAAUAAAAGAAAACUGGUAUCUUCAAUUCCUCAUCAGAAGACCACUGCAGACUAAUCUGAUGAAGGAACGAAGUCUAUAGAGAAAAGCUGAAUGGAAAGGGUGAAACUUCGCAAGGCCAAACAGAAAGCAGCUGCUACAGAAUGAAGCAGGCACAUGGAGCUGCAGACUUUGACACUGUGAUCCAUGUAAGAGAGACUUCGAUAAUAACUCAACAUUCUUUUGAGACAAGAGACUGGUCACAUCUUAAAACCAACGACCACAUCACAUGUCCUUCCUGACCUCAAGUCCUGAAUCUCCUCUCCAUGAAAAUCUAUUUGUUGCCGUCUUCCCAAGAUCUCGGUGGAGAAGAAAGAAGGAUCCUCUCUGGGAGACAGCCAAGUCUACUUUCUCAUCCUUUCCCUGUCAUUCACUUAAGACUGGUUAGUAGAUUUGAAUUUGAACCAAAAGUAUGAGAAAUGCUAUUGGAGGAUGUGAGAGAACCGACUCAGCUCUAUAACCUGGAUUGCAAGUAAGAUCCCUGAAAACAACUUCCUCAGUGGCCUUAUUUUACGUGACUUACCUUGUUUUAACUUAGAAUAUAUUUGAGAUAAAAGGAAACCCAAAUCUCCAGAGAUAUUGGGGUAGAAUCAAAUGUAAAAACGUCCAGUUAAAGGAGCUGGUUAUCAUGGAAAAACACUGUGAUAUUCUGACAGGAAUAUAGGGGAAAAUGGUAGAAUAUUUAUUGGAAAAACUUGGCGGCUUUAUACAUUUCAUACUGAAAUGUAUUCAACUCUUUGUGAUGGAAACAAAUUUCCUUAGGUCUUCUCCAUAAUAUAUAAAAAUAUAUAGUAAAAGGAGUGUACUUCAUCAAAUUCAACAUAUCACUUUUUUAUUAAGAUGUAUUUGUGCAUGAUUUCAGUAUGGAACAAUGCCUUCUU
Molecule: long non-coding RNA, 1110 nt
Filed under: Felis catus (domestic cat)
Lineage: Eukaryota; Metazoa; Chordata; Mammalia; Carnivora; Felidae
Description: lncRNA (ENSFCAG00000045833.2)
Source: RNAcentral